ACAAGGAUUCCCCUAGUAACUGCGAGUGAAGCGGGAAAAGCUCAAAUUUAAAAUCUGGCUGUCUCCGGCCGUCCGAUUUGUAAUCUAGAGAAUUGCUAUCCGUCGCUGGACCGUGUAUAAGUCUCCUGGAACGGAUCGUCAUAAAGGGUGAGAAUCCCGUCUUUGACACGGACUCCCGGGGCUUUGUGAUGCGCUCUCUAAGAGUCGAGUUGUUUGGGAAUGCAGCUCAAAAUGGGUGGUAAAUUCCAUCUAAAGCUAAAUAUGGGCGAGAGACCGAUAGCGAACAAGUACCGUGAGGGAAAGAUGAAAAGCACUUUGGAAAGAGAG
RNAcentral lists this ribosomal RNA (327 nucleotides) under Volvariella pusilla. RNAcentral's name for it is "eukaryotic LSU rRNA". It matches the Rfam family "Eukaryotic large subunit ribosomal RNA", at positions 68 to 387 of the family's 3401-position model. The record is from RNAcentral. Lineage: Eukaryota; Fungi; Basidiomycota; Agaricomycetes; Agaricales; Pluteaceae.